GCACUCUUGCAAUUAAUUGGAACUCGGAGGAACGAAAGUCUGCAGAAGUUGUGUAACAAUGAACUCCAUAAUCCUGGGUAUUAUGUAGUUCAUCAGGUAGAUAUUAUCUGCAAUCGAAAGCCUAAACCAUACUUCUUUCGAACCAUAUCAGCAUAAUAUGUAUAUAUAAACUACUAAAAGUUAUAACCUAUCUUCAUGUUUUGAGUAUCCCUUUAUAAACUUGACUUUUCAAUGUGUUUAAAUUCUAACGGUCAAUUGGCCCAAGUUUGCUGUGUUGCUUCAGUCGCAUACACCCACCCUGCCCAGAACUACAGGGUACUGCGAACGAAAACAGGAAAGUCGAUCCUCGCCUGCGCGCAUCAGUGUAUCUGUGAGUCCCAGUAUCUGAGUAUCUGUGUGCCGGGUAUCUAAAGAGCGCCGCCUGGGCAAAACGGCGUGUGAAAGUAAAGCCGGCCCAGCCGAUGGAGGAGAACAAAUCAAAGUUCUUGAAUGGAGCGGCAGCGGCGGCGAUGGCGACGGCGGCGUUCCAGUUCCAGGAAUCGAUGGCCUUGAAGUAGCCGUUAGGACAUCGGGACGCGCUCAAUUGACUAUUUAGUUUAUAUUUAGCAGCGUCUAAAAGGAUGCCCACAGCGAGUCAGCGAGCUCAAGUGGCCUGCGUCCUGUCUGCCCCGCUCCACAAAUCGCCAGUCGGACUAUCCUUUGUUUGUCUGGGAAUAACUGGAAACUGUUUAUCAUUGUUGUUUCUGCCCCUCAUACAUACGGCUUCACCUCAUUCCGAUUCCAAAUCGGAUUCUUCUGCCGCAGCGACAAAACUGUGUAUGGACUAUAAAAAAAAUGCCCACAUAUACAUACAUGUGAACCAUUUAUUUAAGGAGUUAGUAUUCACAACUCAUCCUUUUGGAGAACAUGAAUUCGGGUUAAUAUGGCCAGUUGAUAUGUGUGGAUUCCUAUAACCAUUUAUGUAAGUAUGAUGAGAAAAUAUUCGAGAUCAGUUUGGGUUCCGAGCUCGUCUAGAAAAUCCUUUGAUGACAUACCGCUUUCGAAGGUGGCAAGCACUUGAUCACGAGAAGAAUUGAAAGGUGUUGACUAGGAUUUGAAUAGGUCAUAUAAGGAGUGUUUAGGUGGGUCAAACAAAGGAAUAUUCCAUCACCUGGUCGAAAAUAUUGGGAAAAUUUACAAAAUUCAGGACACUCAUUACUGAAUCAUCAAAAACUUGAUGCUCUUACUUUUUUCGAAAUCACUUCUAAGAAAGAAUUAUAUUUCCCUAUGGUGCAAACUGGUCAAAUCUAAACAUAAACGGCGGAUUUUCGGCACGAUCAUGACAUAAUCGAAAAAUUAAGUAUACAAAAAGCUACCCCAUCAACAAUACACCACCCACCUCCGCACACACCCCCGCCAACAUCACUCCAAAAGUUUAACGGCGCAAAAAGCGAACACGCAAACUGAAAAACGUCAAAAGAAUGCAAAAAAUAAAGAAGAAAGCAAAAAUUGCGAAGAAAACAACAACAAAAUGAAUGUGGCAGGUAAAUGGAAGCAGAGGAGAAGAGUAGGAGAGGAGAGAACGAAGAUGGCGCGAAGCAAGGUGGAGACGAAGGGGAAGCGAAAGCAAAGCGCCGAGAAAUAUCAAUGAACUCCAUUCUCCACUUGACAGUCUAUCUCGCUCACUCACCGUACAUAGUUACUACUCAGAAAAAUAAUUAUAACCACGAUUUUACAAUAAAUAAAAUUCUAUUAA
Molecule: long non-coding RNA, 1735 nt
Organism: Drosophila mauritiana
Lineage: Eukaryota; Metazoa; Arthropoda; Insecta; Diptera; Drosophilidae
Exons: 2
Source: RefSeq, a predicted model, not a curated record